Molecule: long non-coding RNA, 558 nt
Organism: Rhincodon typus (whale shark)
Lineage: Eukaryota; Metazoa; Chordata; Chondrichthyes; Orectolobiformes; Rhincodontidae
Exons: 3
Source: RefSeq, a predicted model, not a curated record
GACACGAGGAACAGACACCGUCUGAGCAGUGGCCCGAUCCCGCGGGGUCACCUACAGCCGGAAUACACCCUCCAGAAAGGACACGGCAUUCCCAAAAUUCCAGGUUUUGGGCAGUCAGUACCUGAGGGGCUUUACCGAUUCCAUUGGCCGGACCCUGAGCUGCCUGAUGGGGGUAUUUAUGAGGAUGUGAGUGACGACCCGCCCGGGAAAGGCCCUCACUGUCCCCCUGGCAGUAAACCCCAGGGUCAGGGUCAGGGUCAGCUGGAAUGCCCGGGGCCUGGUUUACGUGUUUACGACGAGCCAUUUGAAUUGUGGGGGGAGCUGGUCUGAUCUCUGCAGCCUGCAGUCUCCAUGUCUGGGAGCUGGAGGUGGAAUCGCAGCAUGAAUAUUGACCCUGCUUCUCCAUGACCCGUCUGCAAUCUCCUGCCAUAGCCCUGAUUGUGCGAACCCUCGCCACCAGCCCACGCCUGCUACCCCCAGCUAUACCACAGGACCCUCCCAUCUCCGUUCCCUCUGUUUAUUCACAUCACUGAGUCACAACCAAUAAAGUUCUGCAUU